This 450-nucleotide ribosomal RNA is filed under the name uncultured organism. RNAcentral describes it as "partial 16S ribosomal RNA". It matches the Rfam family "Bacterial small subunit ribosomal RNA", at positions 330 to 797 of the family's 1533-position model. The record is from RNAcentral.
CGUACACUCCUACGGGAGGCAGCAGUGGGGAAUAUUGGACAAUGGGCGCAAGCCUGAUCCAGCCAUGCCGCGUGAGUGAUGAAGGCCCUAGGGUUGUAAAGCUCUUUCACCGGUGAAGAUAAUGACGGUAACCGGAGAAGAAGCCCCGGCUAACUUCGUGCCAGCAGCCGCGGUAAUACGAAGGGGGCUAGCGUUGUUCGGAUUUACUGGGCGUAAAGCGCACGUAGGCGGACUAUUAAGUCAGGGGUGAAAUCCCGGGGCUCAACCCCGGAACUGCCUUUGAUACUGGUAGUCUUGAGUUCGAGAGAGGUGAGUGGAAUUCCGAGUGUAGAGGUGAAAUUCGUAGAUAUUCGGAGGAACACCAGUGGCGAAGGCGGCUCACUGGCUCGAUACUGACGCUGAGGUGCGAAAGCGUGGGGAGCAAACAGGAUUAGAAACCCGGGUAGUCCC